Molecule: transfer RNA, 88 nt
Filed under: Verrucomicrobiales bacterium
Lineage: Bacteria; Pseudomonadati; Verrucomicrobiota; Verrucomicrobiia; Verrucomicrobiales
Description: tRNA-Ser
Rfam family: tRNA
About the family: Transfer RNA (tRNA) molecules are approximately 80 nucleotides in length. Their secondary structure includes four short double-helical elements and three loops (D, anti-codon, and T loops).
Source: RNAcentral
GGACAGAUGUCUGAGCGGUUUAAGGAGCACGCUUGGAAAGCGUGUGUAGGGCAACCUACCGUGGGUUCGAAUCCCACUCUGUCCGCCA